AGUGAACGCUGGCUGUAGGCCUAACACAUGCAAGUCGAACGGCAGCACAGUAAGAGCUUGCUCUUACGGGUGGCGAGUGGCGGACGGGUGCGGAAUACAUCGGAAUCUAUUUUUUCGUGGGGGAUAACGUAGGGAAACUUACGCUAAUACCGCAUACGACCUACGGGUGAAAGCAGGGGAUCUUCGGACCUUUCGCGAUUGAAUGAGCCGAUGUCGGAUUAGCUAGUUGGCGGGGUAAAGGCCCACCAAGGCGACGAUCCGUAGCUGGUCUGAGAGGAUGAUCAGCCACACUGGAACUGAGACACGGUCCAGACUCCUACGGGAGGCAGCAGUGGGGAAUAUUGGACAAUGGGCGCAAGCCUGAUCCAGCCAUACCGCGUGGGUGAAGAAGGCCUUCGGGUUGUAAAGCCCUUUUGUUGGGAAAGAAAAGCAGCAGGUUAAUACCCCGCUGUUCUGACGGUACCCAAAGAAUAAGCACCGGCUAACUUCGUG
Molecule: ribosomal RNA, 492 nt
Filed under: uncultured bacterium
Lineage: Bacteria
Description: partial 16S ribosomal RNA
Rfam family: Bacterial small subunit ribosomal RNA
Source: RNAcentral